This 594-nucleotide ribosomal RNA is filed under the name uncultured Hyphomicrobiales bacterium. RNAcentral's name for it is "bacterial SSU rRNA". It matches the Rfam family "Bacterial small subunit ribosomal RNA", at positions 109 to 739 of the family's 1533-position model. Lineage: Bacteria; Pseudomonadati; Pseudomonadota; Alphaproteobacteria; Hyphomicrobiales. The record is from RNAcentral.
AGUAACGCGUGGGAAUCUACCUUAAGCUACGUGAUAACAGAGAGAAAUUUCUGCUAAUACCGUAUGUGGCCUAUGGGCGAAAGAUUUAUCGGCUUAAGAUGAGCCCGCGUUGGAUUAGCUAGUUGGUGGGGUAAAGGCCUACCAAGGCGACGAUCCAUAGCUGGUCUGAGAGGAUAAUCAGCCACACUGGGACUGAGACACGGCCCAGACUCCUACGGGAGGCAGCAGUGGGGAAUAUUGGACAAUGGGCGGAAGCCUGAUCCAGCCAUGCCGCGUGAGUGAAGAAGGCCUUAGGGUUGUAAGCUCUUUCACCGGUGAAGAUAAUGACGGUAACCGGAGAAGAAGCCCCGGCUAACUUCGUGCCAGCAGCCGCGGUAAUACGAAGGGGGCUAGCGUUGUUCGGAUUUACUGGGCGUAAAGCGCGCGUAGGCGGAUAGAUAAGUCAGAGGUGAAAUCCCGGGGCUCAACCCCGGAAUUGCCUUUGAUACUGUUUAUCUUGAGUGCAGAAGANGUAAGUGGAAUUCCGAGUGUAGAGGUGAAAUUCGUAGAUAUUCGGAGGAACACCAGUGGCGAAGGCGGCUUACUGGUCUGCAA